Molecule: ribosomal RNA, 823 nt
Filed under: bacterium enrichment culture clone 5-36
Lineage: Bacteria
Description: bacterial SSU rRNA
Rfam family: Bacterial small subunit ribosomal RNA
Source: RNAcentral
UAGAGUUUGAUCCUGGCUCAGGACGAACGCUGGCGGCGUGCUUAACACAUGCAAGUCGAACGGAGAAUUUAGCAAUAAAUUCUUAGUGGCGAACGGGUGAGUAACGCGUAGACAACCUGCCUUCUAGAUGGGGACAACGUUCCGAAAGGGACGCUAAUACCGAAUGUCCUAUCGAUCCUGCAUGGGAAUGAUAGCAAAGGUGGCCUCUUAGCAAUGCUACCGCUAGAAGAUGGGUCUGCGUCUGAUUAGCUAGUUGGUGAGGUAACGGCUCACCAAGGCGACGAUCAGUAGCCGGUCUGAGAGGAUGAACGGCCACACUGGGACUGAGACACGGCCCAGACUCCUACGGGAGGCAGCAGUGGGGAAUCUUCCGCAAUGGACGAAAGUCUGACGGAGCAACGCCGCGUGAGUGAAGAAGGUUUUCGGAUCGUAAAACUCUGUCUUCAGGGACGAACGGUUUUUAUGCAAAUAGUAUAGAGACAUGACGAUACCUGAGGAGGAAGCCACGGCUAACUACGUGCCAGCAGCCGCGGUAAUACGUAGGUGGCAAGCGUUGUCCGGAAUUAUUGGGCGUAAAGAGCGCGUAGGCGGGAUACUAAGUCUGUUGUAAAAGUGCGGGGCUCAACCCCGUAAGGUCAAUGGAAACUGGUAUUCUUGAGUGCAGGAGAGGAAAGUGGAAUUCCCAGUGUAGCGGUGAAAUGCGUAGAUAUUGGGAGGAACACCAGUGGCGAAGGCGACUUUCUGGACUGUGUCUGACGCUGAGGCGCGAAAGCCAGGGGAGCGAACGGGAUUAGAUACCCCGGUANNNCUGGCCGUAAACGAU